UCCACUGUCUACUACCCAUGGCCUUAAUAUAGAAUAAUCAUAGACUGGUCCACUGCAUACUACCCAUGGCCUUAAUAUAGAAUAAUCAUGGACUGGUCCACUGCAUACUACCCAUGGCCUUAAUAUAGAAUAAUCAUAGACUGAUCCACUCUCUACUACCCAUGGCCUUAAUAUAGAAUAAUCAUAGACUGGUCCACCGCCUAUUACCCAUGGCCUUAAUAUAGAAUAAUCAUAGACUGAUCCAAUCAUCACAUAAUGUAUGCCAUUUAGCGUUCAGUUAUGUAUGAGUGGCGGUGCCAGCCCCAGGCUAUACCGACCGAGACACACACUUCUUCUGUGCACUGUCAAGACAAGCUGAUUGUACAAUAGUUUCUAAAGACAAGCUGUCACACCCUGAUCUAUUUCACCUGUCUUGUGCUUGUCUCCACCCCCCUCCAGGUGUCGCCCAUUUUCCCCAUUAUCCCCUGUGUUUUUAUACCUGUUCUCUCUGUUUGUCUGUUGCCAGUUCAUCUCGUCUUGUCAAGCCUGCCAGUGUUCUUCCCAUACUCCUGUUUUCUCUCUAGUCCCUGUUUUAUAGUUUUCCCGAUUUUGACCGUUCUGCCUGCCCUGCCCGCUGUUCUGUACCUUGUAACGCUGCCCUGGAUUCCUCACCUCUGCCUGCCCUGACCGCUGUUCUGUACCUUGUAACACUGCCCUGGAUUACUGACCUCUGCCUGCCCUGCCCGCUGUUCUGUACCUUGUAACACUGCCCUGGAUUACUGACCUCUGCCUGCCCUUGACCAAUCGUUUGUUUUUGUAAUAAACUUUUGUUACUUAGAAUUGUCUGCAUCUGGGUCUUAUCCUGAGGUCUGAUCAUAUGAACUGGCCACUAUCAGACCUCAUGUCUCAAGGAUUAAAAAUCCUUCAUUAACCAGUUUCCUCCCCUGAAUCUACACUGAUUGGAGUGGAUUUAACAAGUGACAUCAAUAAGGGAUUAUAGCUUUCACCUGUAUUAAGAUGGUCAGUCUAUGUCAUGGAAAGAGCAGUUGUUUUAAUGUUUUGUAUACUCAGUGUAUGUCGCAAGUAAAAGUCUUGGGUGGCGAGUUGAUACUAUUCCAAGUCUGGAAAGUUAAAACCCCCCUCAGAUUCAGGGACAUGUAAAACGUUCUUAUUUAUUCUAUGGGUUUUAUAUGAAGUCUGUUAUGGCUGGGUUUACUUUUGUAAAGAAUGUCUUCAGUGGGGUAAUUGGUACUCCCAUUAAAUCAAUAUGAAACCUUUUGGAGCCAUGCCAUUCUAAAAAGGUUUGUUCUACCUGUAAGAUUUAUGGGGAGGUAAUUAAAUUUACCUAGAUCUGCUUUCAUUUUUUUGAGUAAUGAGAUAAAGUUAUCUUUAUUUAUAUUUGUUGUUUGUUGUCACUUAUUAAGCAUUCUAUAAGUAUUUUAUAUUUUUUGUAGUAAACUUAAAGGUUUGCUGUAGAUUUUUCCUAUUGACAUUAAUUCCACGUUCAUUUUAAAUCCUGAGAUUUAAUACAGAUGUUGUUUUUAACAAGGGGGUCACUGAGUUUUCAGUAUUAGAGUCAGGUAUAUCAGGAGAUCGUCAGCAGAUAAGUUUAGUUUAUAUUCAUGUUUACCAAUACUGGUACCUGUUACAUUUGGAUCCUGUCUAAUUCUUACUGUUCAAUUGCCAGUCCAAACAGGAGGGGGGAGAAGGGACGUCCCUGCCUUGUGCCCCUUUCUAAAGAAAUUUCAUCAGAUAAUGGCUUAGUUUUGUAUAUUUUAGCUUUAUGAUUUUUGUAUAAUAUUCGUAUGAAAUGUAUUAUUUCAGCUGGAGAGAUGAAUGCUUCCAAAGUUUUUAAUAUAAGAGUCCACACAAGACAGUCAAAAGCCUUUUCAGCAUCAACAGUCAUGUUUUUUUUUGCAUAUUGUAUAAUACUAAAACAUGUUAUUGUAUUUGUUUGUAAGCCUUUUUUAAUAAACCCUUAAUAUGUAUCAAGUA
Molecule: long non-coding RNA, 1974 nt
Organism: Oncorhynchus tshawytscha (Chinook salmon)
Lineage: Eukaryota; Metazoa; Chordata; Actinopteri; Salmoniformes; Salmonidae
Source: Ensembl